AGUGAACGCUGGCGGUAGGCCUAACACAUGCAAGUCGAACGGCAGCACAGUAAGAGCUUGCUCUUACGGGUGGCGAGUGGCGGACGGGUGAGGAAUACAUCGGAAUCUACUUUUUCGUGGGGGAUAACGUAGGGAAACUUACGCUAAUACCGCAUACGACCUACGGGUGAAAGCAGGGGAUCUUCGGACCUUGCGCGAUUGAAUGAGCCGAUGUCGGAUUAGCUAGUUGGCGGGGUAAAGGCCCACCAAGGCGACGAUCCGUAGCUGGUCUGAGAGGAUGAUCAGCCACACUGGAACUGAGACACGGUCCAGACUCCUACGGGAGGCAGCAGUGGGGAAUAUUGGACAAUGGGCGCAAGCCUGACCCAGCCAUACCGCGUGGGUGAAGAAGGCCUUCGGGUCGUAAAGCCCUUUUGUUGGGAAAGAAAAGCAGCAGGUUAAUACCCCGCUGUUCUGACGGUACCCAAAGAAUAAGCACCGGCUAACUUCGUG
Molecule: ribosomal RNA, 492 nt
Filed under: uncultured bacterium
Lineage: Bacteria
Description: partial 16S ribosomal RNA
Rfam family: Bacterial small subunit ribosomal RNA
Source: RNAcentral